Oryza brachyantha (malo sina) is the source of this 150-nucleotide non-coding RNA. The record is from Rfam. NCBI's taxonomy places the organism in Eukaryota, Viridiplantae, Streptophyta, Magnoliopsida, Poales, Poaceae.
GGCCUAAUGCCACGUCUCCGGUAGCUACGAGCUUUGAUCGGUGAUGCUUUGAUUAGGCCAAGACAGAUUUCUUUUGAUGUUUCACAUUUUGAUAGGAACCUGUGACUGCAUCUCUAUCGGUCUACAGAGCCGGUUUAUGUGAUUAUAUUU